CGUUAUACAAAAAAUGUGAUUUAAUUUUGUUGGUUUAAUAGUAGUUAAUUUUUAUUUAUAAUUUAUUUUUUUAAGUUUUUAGGUGAAAUUUAAAUUUCAAUUAAUUUUAUUUAGGUUCUUCUAAAUAUAAAUAAUAAACUAGGAUUAGAUACCCUAUUAUUUUAUAUGUAAAUAUUUAUACCUAGGUAAUAAUAGUUAUGUUCUUUAAACCUAAAGAAUUUGGCGGUGUUUUAAGUCUAUUCAGAGGAAUUUGUCCCGUAAUCGAUAAUCCCCGUUUUAUCUUACUUUACUUUGUUUAUUUUAUGUUCAGUUUGUAUACCGCCGUUAUAAGUUUAUUUUUUAAGAAUUAAAAUUUACUUUAUAUUAAUUUAAUAGUAUUUCA
RNAcentral lists this ribosomal RNA (382 nucleotides) under Phryganistria heusii yentuensis. Its description in RNAcentral is "partial small subunit ribosomal RNA". The record is from RNAcentral. Lineage: Eukaryota; Metazoa; Arthropoda; Insecta; Phasmatodea; Phasmatidae.